AUGGGAUGGGGCGACGACGACGGCGGCAGCGGCCUUCUCUCGGUGCUUGCUGAUGUGGUGGCCAUCGACACCGGCAACGAGUUGCAGCACAUAGACAUCAAAGGCUGCGGGUGUGACGGAGGAGCACCAUGGCGGGCGUGCAGGCCAUGGCUCUCUAUGUUAAGGGAGCAUUCCUCAAUUUUUUUGGGGUUCAACGGAACAGCAGGAGUGUGGAGAAUUAAGGCACUCGAGGACUCUGGAAUAUGGAUGGAGAGAACAACAGUUGAAGACAUGGAUAUUGCUGUCCGAGCACAUAUAAAGGGAUGGAAAUUUCUGUUAUGGUUGAUGACUUUUCUGUAUGGCAUUCAUACCUUUACUGAUCAUUCAAACUGUGCUACACGAAUUUCCAUUCAGUGUUAG
This 399-nucleotide ribosomal RNA is filed under the name Triticum aestivum (bread wheat). Its description in RNAcentral is "partial small subunit ribosomal RNA". The record is from RNAcentral. Lineage: Eukaryota; Viridiplantae; Streptophyta; Magnoliopsida; Poales; Poaceae.